This 73-nucleotide transfer RNA is filed under the name Effusibacillus lacus. It matches the Rfam family "tRNA". From Rfam's summary of the family: Transfer RNA (tRNA) molecules are approximately 80 nucleotides in length. The record is from Rfam by way of RNAcentral. Lineage: Bacteria; Bacillati; Bacillota; Bacilli; Caryophanales; Alicyclobacillaceae. RNAcentral also lists the same sequence under 1 other name.
AGGGGCAUAGUUCAGUUGGUAGAACGGCGGUCUCCAAAACCGCAUGUCGUGGGUUCGAAUCCUGCUGCCCCUG